GAACCGAGCUGUGCUGUCGCGCGGUAUGUCGCCGAAAGGUAUUACCGUGAGGAAAGUCCGGGCACCGCAGUGCAGGAUAACGGAUAACGUCCGCCGAGGGUGACCUCAGGGAAAGUGCAACAGAAAUAAACCGCCCGCCCGUUUUCGGGAAGGUAAGGAUGGAAAGGCGAGGUAAGAGCUCACCGGCACAUUGGUAACUUUGUGCGUCACUGUAAACCCUAUCCGGUGCAACACCUGCGCAAACCGGCAGAAAUGCCGAUGUCUGCACGGCAUAUGCUUUGUCAGGUGGCACAGAGCCGUACGGCAACGUACGGACAAGAUAGAUGACAGCUCGAGGUCGGCAAAAUUUCCGCCGACCCGGACAGAACCCGGCUUACAGGCUCGGUUUCGGA
This 392-nucleotide RNase P RNA is filed under the name Clostridia bacterium. RNAcentral describes it as "RNase P RNA component class A". It matches the Rfam family "Bacterial RNase P class A". Rfam says of the family: Ribonuclease P (RNase P) is a ubiquitous endoribonuclease, found in archaea, bacteria and eukarya as well as chloroplasts and mitochondria. Its best characterised activity is the generation of mature 5'-ends of tRNAs by cleaving the 5'-leader elements of precursor-tRNAs. The record is from RNAcentral. Lineage: Bacteria; Bacillati; Bacillota; Clostridia.